AUUGAACGCUGGCGGCAGGCUUAACACCUGCAAGUCGAACGAGUGGCGGACGGGAUCAUAAUGCUUGGGAAUCUAGCUUAUGGAGGGGAAUACCUACGGGAAACUGUGGUCAAUCCCGCGUACCAUAGGAUGAGCCAAAGUGGGAUUAGGUAGUUGGUGAGGUAAAGGCUCACCAAGCCGACGGUCUCUAGCUGGUCUGAGAGGAUGACCAGCCACACUGGGACUGAGACACGGCCCAGACUCCUACGGGAGGCAGCAGGGGGGAAUAUUGCGCAAUGGGGGCAACCUGACGCAGCCAUGCCGCGUGAAUGAAGAAGGCCUUCGGGUUGUAAAGUUCUUUCGGUAGCGAGGCGUUAACUACAGAAGAAGCACCGGCUAACUCCGUGCCAGCAGCCGCGGUAAUUC
RNAcentral lists this ribosomal RNA (405 nucleotides) under uncultured bacterium. Its description in RNAcentral is "partial 16S ribosomal RNA". It matches the Rfam family "Bacterial small subunit ribosomal RNA", at positions 30 to 526 of the family's 1533-position model. The record is from RNAcentral.